Molecule: ribosomal RNA, 402 nt
Filed under: bacterium
Lineage: Bacteria
Description: partial 16S ribosomal RNA
Rfam family: Bacterial small subunit ribosomal RNA
Source: RNAcentral
UGGGGAAUUUUGCACAAUGGGGGAAACCCUGAUGCAGCGACGCCGCGUGAUUUAGAAGGCCUUCGGGUUGUAAAAAUCUUUUCUAUGGGAAGAAAAUGACAGUACCAUAGGAAUAAGGACCGGCUAAUUACGUGCCAGCAGCCGCGGUAAUACGUAAGGUCCGAGCGUUGUCCGGAAUCAUUGGGCGUAAAGGGUACGUAGGCGGGUAAGCAAGUUAGAAGUGAAAUCCUAUAGGUCAACUAUAGUAAGCUUUUAAAACUGCUCAUCUUGAGGUAUGGAAGGGAAAGUGGAAUUCCUAGUGUAGCGGUGAAAUGCGCAGAUAUUAGGAGGAAUACCGGUGGCGAAGGCGACUUUCUGGCCAUAACCUGACGCUGAGGUACGAAAGCGUGGGUAGCAAACAGG